CAUGGAACCGGCCGGAGUUGGAGGGAAAUUACUCUCCUUUUUUUCAUAAUUUUCGGGACUCGUUCGGCGCUUUCGAAUGCUUAUACCGUCAUAGACACCUCGCCUACCGCGGAUCUGACGUUACGUUUAUCAGAUCAACCGUUCCACGUCAACAAUUCCAUCACACUACCGCAGGGGGUAACGCUGAAUGUAGAACCUGGCGUUACCGUUAAAAUCGACCUGGCUGUCGGCGUGCGCGUUGAGGGACGGCUUUUGGCAGUGGGACAACCGGACAAACGUAUCCUUUUCACGGCUGCAGACCCACCCAAUGUUGAAAGGGAUGAUAAGCAGCCACCUGUUUGGUUCGAUGGUGCCUGCAAGUAGUUUUGGCACCGUUUGUCAGAAUGGCUGGGGUAGCUCCUACUACUACUACUACAACAACAACAACAACAGAGUUGUUGCCAGGAUGUUGGGAUAUCAAACGUGUACCAAAGUAUAUAGCAGAGGCAGUGGCACUGGUUGUAUUCUUCUGAACAACGUGAGAUGCAAAGGACAUGAGAGCUCUUUCUGGGACUGUCCGCAGGAUGGGGUCCGUGUACACAACUGUUUUCACAGUCAAGACGUGUGGCUGCAGUGCUCAGGUUACUCUGGUUAUCGUGGGAAUCCCAACGAAACAGCCAAGUACUGGUCUGGGAUAGAGCUGGCGACAAACUCCUCCGUGUUAGGAGUAAGUGCUCUCCAAUAUGUGGACAUCGAAUUCGCUGGUCUUCCUAACAUCAGGACACACUCAAAUGAUACUGCAGCCAUAUCGAUUAGUGGAAGCCCGCCUGUGCUUGAUAACCUGAACAUCACAAAUAUAUCAUCGGAAAUGGUGUUCUACUCAGAGAUAUAACUGGACAUGCGGCAAUCAACAAUAGUAACAUUGAGAACAGCAUGGGCAACGGGGUUUCUUUCAGAAGCUUUGGUAGUAACCUGGCAAUGGACAAUGUCCAGAUUUCUAAUGCCCAUAAAGCAGGUUUAUAUUACAACAGGACAUUUCCGCUGCCCUCCUAUAAGAUGUGCCAACUGCCGGAAACAACGGUUCCUGAUGGAGAACCGCUCAUAGUCAGCAUUGACAGUACUGACCUUCAUCUGGGGUCAAGGUCUUCCUGUUCUCAGGUGUUUCGAAGUCAAAACCCAGGAUACAUUUUGGCGGUGCGCGUACUAUAUAUUAGGGCACGUCGGAAUACAUAUAGCAACAUACUGGAUAUAUUUGACGGAAACAGUUCGUCCUCCCGGCGGCUGGAGAGAGUGUAUAUGUACGGUGCCGACGUAAACAUGCCGUCUCCUCUCUACACUACCGGCGGGUCAGUCUUGCUGCUAUUUUCAAGCCUAAAUAUUGACGAACGAUAUCAAGGGAUGUUUACAGUUCGGUCCGUUGCCGCUUAUUCAGGUCACCCUACAGAGUUAUCAAUGUAUAGCGCCAAAGUUACGAAGUCCAGAUAUGGCAUUUUUAUUGAGAAUCAGCUGCAACCAAUUCGCAUAUCAGGGACUCGCGUGGCACAUUCUUCAGACACAGAUCUGUACGUUGGUAAGGGAUCCGGUACGAUUGUGCUUCAGGACAGCGCCUUCAUGAAUAACAUGAACCAUGUGUACUUUGAGCAUAUCCAGAGGAAUAUUAAUGUUACCGUGAAGAAUAAUGAAUUCAUUAAUUCCUCUAUGUAUGCUUUGUUUGUUGGCACCACCCCAGUGUGGACAUUAUGAGAUAAAAUCAGCUUCAUUAUUCAAAGCAACACCCUGAUGGAUAAUUUAUUUGGUAUAUCAGUACCGCGGACCAGACAGUGUGCCCUAACAGACAUCGUAGUGUACGGCAAUGUCUUUCACAACCAAAGCGAAACCGCCCUGAUGUUGGGCCCUGGUAAUAGAUGUGGAACAUACAGACUCAGAACCGUCCAGGUGAAUGAGAAUUAUGUCUCUAAAACAAAAGGGACUGCGGCUUUAUUAAUAGAGACCGACUCCCAAAUUCUCAACAACAAGUUUUCCGAUAAUGACGUGUCCCAAUGUGUUCUUUGUGUUUCUGCCUACAGUUUGUUCGUGACUGGAAAUAACUUUAGAAACAACAAUGUAAGAACGGACAACAAAAGACAUAGGGUGGGUGCUGUAAUGGUCUUGAUAAAUGCUCCAAGUAGUUUCACAUUCACAGACAACAUUUUUGAAAACCUGUGGUCGAAUAUCAACUGGCCGCUUGGCACGAGAAUUCCGUCCUUAGAACACUUGAUGUGUCACGAAAUUACUGGGGAACAUCAAACCCGCAUGAUGUUUACUCGGGGAUUAUUGAUAAUACAAAACGCUACACUCUGAGAACUGAGUUCCUAUACACUCCGUUCUAUAUCACGUCUGAUCUCUCCAGUUUGUCCCCAGCAACUAUAGAAGUGGACCCAGCACUAACUCCCCACACACUCGGUGGCCGCAUUAACACCGACCUUACUCUUAAAGACACUGGUAGACCGUACACGGUGACACAUGACCUGAACGUGACAGCCAACGCCACACUAACCAUAGAACCAGGAGUAGUUUUAGAAUUUGAAGAUUCUGUGGGGAUGUACAUUGAAGGAAGACUUAAUGUCAGUGGAACAGAGAGUAAGAAGUGCAUAUUUACCGCCAAGGGAAAGGUGUCUACAACGAAAAAUGUCACAGCUAAAACAGGUUUUGGUAAAUUUUCGUUGCUUCGAGGGCCAUCGCAAUCAUAUGGCUCGGCAUCGUUUUAUGGACAACUUUACGGAGAAGAGAACGGAGAUAUAUUGCCAGUUUGUUAUGAUUCUUCAUUGAGAGAGCCGAUGAUGACAACAUGGUUGGACGGAGAAUGCAGGCGACUUGGAUAUGCUUCUCUUUUGUACAUGAGGUCGAUUUCUGAUAUGGCUAAACUGGGGUUAAAACUAAAUUGUGCUAGGACUAAAACAGACUUUGAAAAUAUCUGCUUCACAGGUAUGCAAAGAUACAGGUGCACUUCGUUCUUCAGAGUUGUGUGCACCAAGCAUUCGCAAGAGUCCACGUGGGCCGGUAUACGAUUAGGUCUGACGGCUCGUCCCAGCUCUAUACAACAUGUGGUGAUGCAGUUUGCUGGAUACUUUGACUCCGGGUCAAGCAGAAUUGUGCAGAUUAAACUUAUGGCAGCAAAUUUCGAGGAGGAUUCGCAUCACUCGGCUUGUUUUGUGCAGGUGCGAAACCGAUAAACGUCCGUCUUUUGAAAUAAGACAUCUAUGAAGGUAAAAUUAGUUUAACACCUCAGAUAUUAUUUAUUAUACUAAAAAAGGCCAUUUUAUUGUGCAAAUAAGUGAAAAAUAUUUUACUUUUCGAAAUUUAAUUAAAUCUUCAGACCUUCACUUGCUUUUGUAUUGGAGAAUAUGACGUCAGAAUAUGGCUGACACCUAGCGGAAUAGGGUCAAAAAAUGCACUUCAACAGCUCGCAUAAAAAGUUGCUACAAUAAACUUCGAUGAAACUUGACAAUUAUAUUUCUUAUUAAAAAAGCCACCUUUUACGGACUUUACUAAGAUGCGUUAUUUCUAAUAAAGGAGAAAUCUCAAAUUGUUACAGUGUUGCUACGGCCCAAAAUUGACCAGUUGGCCGAUUUCGUUGAGUUCUAACUCGUUCAUUUCUGCUUCCUUGCAAGUGAAUCGCACACGUCGAGACGCGCAGUGAACUCUGCUACCAUGUCUUAAUUUUUCACAAGCACGUAUGAGGGCAAUUAAGGAAAAUUCAUGAAUUUCUGCGAUGGUUACGCAUUUAACAAAAUUUCGACCGCGACGUCAUCUCAGCGCUCGCGCUCCGUUCUGAAUAUUUUCCUACGCGCAGCCAGUUGCCAUAUGACUGAAAAGGUCCUUCUUUACAGGUGGAUUUCAACCGACAUAUCCUUGACAACGUAGCCAUUCUUACCUCUGGAGGAGGCAUUCGACAAAUAUACGAGGACGGGUUAGAGCGAGAUAUGACUAACAUGGUGAUAGCAGAUAUAGAUAACUACGCCUUUGAAACAUAUACACUGAGCGCAACUCUGAGGGAUUCACGGAUGGAGGACAUAAACUCAUAUGCUGUAUUGUUUCAAUCAGGGUCAUCCAGUUGGUCAAUGACAGGGUACUUUACUCACUAUAAAAGAGACUGCGGUGUAUUAUAUCUGGCCAAUGAAGGCGAUAUGGAGCCAUUUUAUCACUACAUAAAUACGCUUACACAAUGCGGUACCUUUACAACCAGGUCGGACCUCAGAUUACGGGUUUUCAUCAUCAACGGUGUUGGGUUAUAAUCAGUGGAUCCUCCACAGCAGUAUAUGGUCAAUACGGGGGUUACACAAAUGGAAUACGGACUGACAGAAGACAUCCAGACUACCCUGAUGUGGGACAAGUCAGUGUUGAUAUUAAAGACUCAGUUAUAGUGGGAAACUACAGACCAAUGGAUGUUAGGAUAUAUAGAGUGUCUAAUGCCCCCCUAAUGAAUGAACUGUUACCAUCUUUCGCCAUCUCAAUCAAAAAUACAACCUUAGAUUCCAGUAACUAUGGAAUUUAUAUUGACCGUAGAAAUCGAGAACAGUUAACCAUUGAUGGAUGUAGGAUCAGUGGCACGAGGAACACAUUGUUACAGUACAGUGUCCGGGAAGACAACCGAAAGAUGUGGACAUCCAGUUCUUGAAUAACGAAAUCACUGAUAACAGGGGGGUGUACUUGACAUCAGUGGUGGUGCUCUACAUAUGACAGUAUCGGGGAAUAACAUCACAGACAAUGAGUACAGCUCUGGGUCAAUGACCUUAUACCGGGGAUAUGAAAAGACAAUACAAUUCGUGAACAAUGAUAUAUUAGGUAACCAUUACAGAAAUAUCAUCUUCAUGAAUAUGGAGAAAACAUCCUAUGACCUAAGCAAAACCCCAAACGUUGGACUGGUAGGGAAUAUCAUUGCUAACAACACUUAUUCAUUCGGCAACAACGAACGUCAGUCAUCACAGCCCCCAGUGUCAGCUGCACUAGUAUUAGAUGGUUAUGGAAAUGUCUGCAUUCAAAACAACACGCUUCAAAACCCGGACCUGGAGGCAGAGGUGUAUGUCAAGACUCGCGCUUCAAAAUGGACAGACACCAUUGAAGCCAGGUACAACACGUGGGGAUGUGAAAAUACCGGUUGCGUGAGAAAACGUAUAUAUGACGCACACAACGACAUGUAUCUACCGGAAGUGCGAAUACUUCCAUUUGUGUCAAGAUCGAACGAGAUGGUGUACACUCCCGACGUCACAGAGGGACAUCCACAAGGAAACGUCCUUGGCGGGUGGCUGAACAAGUCCAUCACAUUAGAAGCAACAGGUUCUCCAUUCUAUCUAAAAGAAGACUGGACUAUUUUGCCCGGCAUUGAGGUUUUCAUUGAACCUGGUGUUUGGAUUAAGCCAGCAAGGGACAAAGGGAUCCUCGUUCUGGGACGGAUAGUUGCUAGGGGAGAAAAGAGAGAAAGGAUUGCCUUUGGCUGUCAAUACCAAACAGCUAAUUGCUCUCAUUGGCAAGGAUUGGUGUUUGCUUCAGAUGCCGUCAGCACUAGCCCUUCGGAAUUGCUCUUUGUAGUCGUUUUUAAUGCAGGUUACAAAGGAAACACGUACGGCGCAGCUGUGCAGUCUUUCAGCCCCAGUGUAAUCAUACAGAACUCACGAGUGGUCCAGUCAAGGUUGAACGGUAUUGAACUAAUUGGACCAGCAGUGAAAUCUAGCAUCAUUAAACGAAACGGAUUUGUUAACAACAGAGGUGUUGGGAUAAAUGCCGUUGUGACUUCCCCGAGAAGUGUACCACUUAAUACUAGAGUCAAACAAGAAUCUGUGGGAUGGCCUAGUGACGUUUAUGGGGUCCAUAAUAUUUGCGAAAGAACUUCCAAAAUGCUCAUUGUUAAUAAUAGAACUUUGGUUUAUUAUUCUCACGGAAAACAGCAUGGAGGAAAUUAUUUUAAUUGUACGCGUGCAAUACGUUCUGAACUUGGACGGAAUAUCACAAUCCAAAUUGUACAGUUUAAUCUGCAACGUUUUCAACUGGAAAUAUCCUUUUCUCUCAAGGCGACUUCUUUAUGCUGACCAGACAAACGAUUCACUUCCUUCAGAUGUUCCAAUAAACAGUUCCAGUGUAACCAUCCGGUUAUAUAGCAGGGCCAGUAACUGGGACACAUAUGGUUUGCAAAGCAUGGUCUUUGGUAUCAAGAUCUCCAGCGACACAUCUACAGGGUUAAAUGGCAACUUUGGCAUCGAGGAAAACACUUUCUUUAACAAUGGUCUGGGUGGAAUUAACAUAACUACAUUUGGACAGAGUAAUUUGGAUAUAAACAUCAACAAAAACAUAUUUCACAGUAAAGGACUUUCGACUUCCCAUCGAGCUGGACAUUCCAAAGCAGCUAUUCGGCUUAAUAUCGCUGACACCAGUGCUACAUUAGCAAACAAUUACAUGGAAGGGAACCAGGGUGGCAUCCACCCCAGGACUCCAAAACAAUAAGUUGAACGUUUGGAGCAACCAGAUUCUCUUUACAACCCAGCAAGAGAGCAUUCAGGUGGUAGAAGUAGAAGACGGUCCUCAUACACAGCAAUGCAGUAUAGAUGGGAAUGUGAUACAACACGGACAGGGAGAUAGGUACAGUGAUGUCAUCCACCUGGAGGGUGUGUCUGGAACCGUCACAAACAACUACAUCUACAACAACACGGGUUUACAUGUGAUGUGGUGGACAAUGCCAGCCAAUAGGAACAUGAGUGACGUCACCACUGACAACAUCAUAUACUACAAUAUUGCAAGAGAAGCAAACAACAUGGCAGCCAUAUUUGCUGGUGGCUCAUCAUCGUUUCUCCAUGACAACGUCUUCCAAAACCGUACAUUUAUAUUUGAGAUGACAAGUGAAGGGGCCUCUUCAACUGUGAAUGCGUCUUCCAACUGGUGGGGUCUGACAGAGCAUGCGCAGAUCAAGCAGAGGCUACGAGAUAGGGGCACGGGGUUCCCAUACCCCGAGGUCUCUAUACACCCAAUCAUCAAUUCCAUGUCUUCUUAUCAAACAGGCCCAGCGUUUUCCCUGGUGAUAACCCCCGUCAGAUAACAAAGCGCCCCGUAGGGCAGUUUAUUCCCGACUCCAGAGUUUGUCGGCGGUAUUAUAGUUGCAGUGAAGGUGGCGUUAUUCCCAAGAUGUACCCAAACCAUCUUGUCUGGAAUCCGGAAAUACAGGAGUGUGGCAGAGGCGGUUGUGAGCCACAGGAAGCUUCUGAUUCGUGUCCUCUUGGUUGGCUGCAGAAUAAGAUGGUGUGUUACUUGUACGUCGGGGGAGCACAAAACUUUACUCAAGCUCGAGCUUCUUGUGAGGGUCAAUACAGUAUGUUGGUCAAUCUUGCUACGAAGUCUGAGCGAGCCUUUGCAAUCAGCAUACUACGGUCACGAGCGGUGGGAGAGCGCAGUUUUGGCAUAUGGACGGAGACGUGGGAUAAGGAGGACGGAAAAUGCCCACUGUUCAAUUUGUCGAGUAUUGCCGGCAAUGCACAUAUCUACAAAGAUGAUUGUUUCAGUCUUUCUCCGUAUAUUUGUAAACGGUCCGCAGUUAACGAGUGUCCCAAUGGCUGCACCUACAAUGGACGGUGUGGUAAAGAUAAACGAUGUCACUGUAACCGAGGCUGGGAAGGAAAGGACUGCUCCGUGUACCACUGUAGAGACAGGAACAAGUGUGGACAGUACGGGACAUGUGUGGGACCUAACCAGUGCAGGUGUCAGCCUGGCUGGCAGGGCCGUGCCUGUUCAGUAAGCUACUGCCCCGUGUACAGCACAUGUAGAUCUUGCACUGAACAGCCCGGGUGUGGGUGGUGUGACCACAAACAAAGAUGUCUGCCAGGUCACGAGUCUCAGCCGUGGAGAGAGCAGUGUGGAACAUGGUUCUAUCACGACUGUUUCUCUGUAGACACACACAUGGGAUGUUCUAGUCAAGUUGAGUAUAUCGGCUGUGACUACCGACAUCGUAACUCUACCAUACGGUAUUCCAAUGAUGAGCUCUGCCACAGGUGUAGAGACGUGGAGGCCUGCUUCAUUGACGAUAUCUCAUAUAGCUGCCGUCAAUGGGACAUGCGGAAAUGCCCAAAUGGCCUAGUGCGACAGGUCUAUAACCAUGGCGACCGAGCCUUAGAUACGACAUUGCACGCACACGUGAAGGUCAUUAAGCCUGGCAAUGCAGAGUUUUAUGUGUGCCCUAUAUCAAACACGGAACAAAGAGGUCACUCCAUUCUUGUGACCAGAGACAAGGUCAAGUAUCCCAGGUCCAAAGAUUUUGUCAUUGUCAGCAAGCAAGCUGGAGGAAUCAUGCAUAAAGUGUAUGCAACUCAAGAAAAAGGAACAUACCAAUAUUUUGCCGCUGUAAGGGCCUCGUUGGAAGAUGUCAUCCAGUAUGCCAACUUUAACCAAAUAGUUCCUGUCCGUUCCCUCAUGGAUGAUAGGACGCUAGAGCACGUGCCGGAGGAACGCAUUUUUAAAAUUGCCUACAUGUGGGAAGGCGCAGCCAUUAGAGGUUCCUUAGUUCACGUGCUUAAAGAUGACCAUGUUUUUAAAUGUCUUGGACAUUGGUACAAUGUCACCAUAAGACCAGUGGCGUCUCAGUACAUUGUGCUACGACAGAGUAUGUCAAAACACAUUAACGUUUGUGAUGUGGUAGUCAGCGGGGAAAGCCAGGGCCAGGGCUUCCUCGAGGACAUAGAGGAUAUUGUAACAGAAUCUGAGGCUGUGACGUAUCACGCCAAAGUGAAGACGUGUUGUCAGGCUAUGUCUUUUAGUCCCAUUGCUGUCUCCCCUGUCUCCACAUCUAACACAAUGUACUGUCACGGCGGAGAACAAAAUGACAGAAGCCUGCACAUUAGUGAGUCAGUGAAUCAAGAGACGGCGCCACCAGUCGUAGGUGACGUUAUUCCAGGACGUACAUCCGGCGCCUUCCUCGGUCAGGUUAUUUCAAGGUUUGAGAAAGGGGGCUACAUUUUCCUGGAGUGUAUCCCUAUCCAGGACUUAAACAAAGACACAGUGCUGACGUCUGCUCCCUACACUAUUUUCCACCCCGACAGACGGCUGAACAACCAAAUAUCCACUGAUGGCAUAUUUACAUCACUGAAAAAGGAGGCGGUGUUUGAGACAACCUCAGUGUUAAGAAAGCAGCUGUCAGUUGACAUGAAUAUAGUGGUGACAGCAGGACUGCAGCUCCAUCUACAGUCCACAGUUCCCAAAGCACAGAAGAUAGGGAUCCGACUGGAUGCAACCGUUGACUACAACAUGAACAACAGUUAUGAAGCAUUGGUCAGAAACACCGAAUUCAACGAAGAUCAUUAUGCACCCAGGGCAUUCUGAAUAGACAAAUGAAAAUCACGAUACUUCAACUGCCUCAGUGGGCACUAGAAGAAAAAGUGGCGUAUAGUCUCAGGUUUCCCACAAGAGCAGUUCGGAGAAUUUACCGAGUUCCAGUUAUGGUUAUAUAAUUGGGAUUUGAACAAUAGAUCUACACGCGCGCGGUUGAGAUAUUUUUCAUUCUUUCUUUCUAACUUUAGGGUGGUGGUUGAUAACGAACCAGAAAAGAGUUCGGAUUUCAGAAUGCUUAAGUAACGCGAUAUUUGGGGUGUACUUUUGUUCGAGACUGAGACUAUUCCAUGAAGACACGAGUAAGUAUUCAUGACCCUGGGAUGUAAACUUAGCUGGGAUAAUGUAAUCUCUGUACGAGGACUCUCUUGUUUGCGGGGUUAUUGGAUUUUUAAAAGACAGGAAAUCUUUAAGAAUGUAUGUAGGCGCCAUGUUGUGAUGGAUAGUGCAUGCAUUAUUCUACGGUUUUCCAGAGUAGCCCAGUUCAACUCUCUAAGUACUUUAAUUGUGUUCGAACCUGGCAGGGCACCCAGAACAAGCAGACCAGCUUGAUAGUGAAUAGAAGAGAGUUUAGAAAGAUUCCUUUUAGUUGCUGAGUGAUAGAGGAUGUAGCAGUAAUCAAGCAGAAACAGUACGUAAGCGUUGUAUAGUAUAUUCAAGUGCCUAGAUCUGAGCCUAUGGGACAGGGACUUAAGAGGAUUCAGGGCCUUUUGGGCCUUAGAAGCUAAAUAACUUAUAUGCUCGGCACAAGACAGUUUUGAAUCUAGUACGAAUCCGAGAUGUUUGUGGAAUGAUUUCUGGGGUAUCGUUAAAUCACAUAAUAUUAGAUUUCUAUAUUUAUUUGCUGUAACCUUGGUAGAGAAUAUAACCUCACAACUCUUAUCAGGUUUGAACUCCAGUUUCCAUCUGGAAGACAAUUCCUCAAGCUUUGAGAGAUCAGAUUGAAGUGCAUCGUGCAACUGGCUGUCAGAAGGAAGAGAAGAUUGAAAAAUAGACGUGUCGUCAGCAUAUAGAAAACAAUCUGAUGAAAGGUUGUCUGCUAGAUCAUUUAUAUAUACUGUAGGAGAAAGAGUAGAGGGCCGAAAAUGCUGCCUUGUGGAACACUAGUGUUGAUAUAAGAUUCUUUGGAAGAUUGAUACGGACUUUGAUUUUUCUAUCACUCAAAUAAGAGGAUAAUAGUGACAGUGACUGACGUGACACAUGAUGUAGAUCACGCAGAUGACAUGGGCAAUGUUCACAUAAACGUUUGCACGUGCAGUUUCCCAGUGCCUCGGAUACCAUUGUUUACGACCUCGUCAACCCUUCGCUCGUUCUUCGUUUUCUAAAGAAUUUGAUAGACCCCGGUGUUGUCAGUCAGUCUGAGACUGUCACAUACACGACUACAGCCCCUAUCACGGACAGUUUGGACAUUACCAAUUGUUCUAAUAUCUGUUCCGGGCGUGAGGGCGUGCACCUUGUGGUCCACAAAGCGGGGCCGGGGUACAGAAAAGACGCUGGGUUUCUUCGUUUAGAUGCGUCAUAUUCGAUUUUCACAAGCCUUGAAGGGCACUGUAGGCCAGCUACCGUAGCCACCACGUGUGCUGUUGGACCUGGUACCUGCCUAUGUCCUGAUGGAAGCAGUAGUAUUGAGCCUGCAUGUCGAUGUCACUGUGCUGACGGUUGGCCACGGGAGAUGAACGUAGACGGCACGUGUGAGUGUGGCUGUGAGUGUCCAAAUGGCGGUUAUGAUAUCGUUAAACCUGAUGGUGGCUGUCAUUGUUCAUGUGAAUGUUAAAACUGCCAGAACUCGGUUAUAGCUAGUGAUGGAACGUGCUACUGUCCGAAUGAUACCUGCCCGGUGUGUGACUAUGCCUACAAGCCCGUGUGGGAAGACUGUCGUUGUGUUUGCCGUGAGAAGACCCAGUGUGGACUGUACCCUGCCUGUGUACGAGGUCGACGUGGAGAGCAGUGUGACCAGCCGGACUGUGAGCCAUGCAGUUUUCAGACAGACAACGGGUUGCAAGGUUACCCAAAGAAGGCCCAUAUAUUGGGGGCAAAGCCUGAAACUGUCGAUUUCAGCACCCCAGGACAGCCAACUUCAAGAGCAGGAUAAAAUGAUUACUUCAGGAAUCUUACCUAUCACUUCACAUCAGCUGCAAAGAUUGAUGUAGCCACCAGUUAUGCCUACACUAAAGCUGACUUACAGGCGGCUGUGAUGGACAACAACUAUUGUCAAGUGCCAUGAAAAGAAUAAAGCAUGGAUAGAGGGAA
Unclassified non-coding RNA from Lingula anatina, 11571 nucleotides. The record is from RefSeq and is a predicted model, not a curated record. NCBI's taxonomy places the organism in Eukaryota, Metazoa, Brachiopoda, Lingulata, Lingulida, Lingulidae.